This 440-nucleotide ribosomal RNA is filed under the name uncultured bacterium. RNAcentral describes it as "partial 16S ribosomal RNA". It matches the Rfam family "Bacterial small subunit ribosomal RNA", at positions 338 to 795 of the family's 1533-position model. The record is from RNAcentral.
CCUACGGGAGGCAGCAGUGGGGAAUAUUGCACAAUGGGGGAAACCCUGAUGCAGCGACGCCGCGUGAGUGAAGAAGUAAUUCGUUAUGUAAAGCUCUAUCAGCAGGGAAGAAAAUGACGGUACCUGAGUAAGAAGCCCCGGCUAACUACGUGCCAGCCGCCGCGGUAAUACGGAGGGGGCAAGCGUUAUCCGGAUUUACUGGGUGUAAAGGGGGCGUAGACGGCAGUGCAAGUCUGGAGUGAAAGGCGGGGGCUCAACCCCCGGACUGCCCUGGAAACUGUACGGCUGGAGUGCAGGAGAGGUAAGUGGAAUUCGUGGUGUAGCGGUGAAAUGCGUAGAUAUUAGGCGGAACUCCAGUGGCGAAGGCGGCUUACUGGACUGUAACUGACGUUGAGGCACGAAAGCGUGGGGAGCGAACAGGAUUAGAUACCCGUGUAGUC